UACGUAGGGUGCAAGCGUUAAUCGGAAUUACUGGGCGUAAAGCGUGCGCAGGCGGUUUUGUAAGUCUGACGUGAAAUCCCCGGGCUCAACCUGGGAAUUGCGUUGGAGACUGCAAGGCUAGAAUCUGGCAGAGGGGGGUAGAAUUCCACGUGUAGCAGUGAAAUGCGUAGAUAUGUGGAGGAACACCGAUGGCGAAGGCAGCCCCCUGGGCUAAGAUUGACGCUCAUGCACGAAAGCGUGGGGAGCAAACAGG
RNAcentral lists this ribosomal RNA (253 nucleotides) under uncultured bacterium. Its description in RNAcentral is "partial 16S ribosomal RNA". It matches the Rfam family "Bacterial small subunit ribosomal RNA", at positions 524 to 776 of the family's 1533-position model. The record is from RNAcentral.